ACCUGGGAGACUAACAUUCCAAGCAAAUUUUGUGGCCAAGAAAAAGAAGACUUAUUUUCAUAUAGGGCAGCUCACUGCCCUUUCUAUAAUCCAGGAUGGACCAGGCCUUCCAAUUUUUUCAGACAUAGUAACUGACUACAUUCUGAAUGGGAAAUCAUUACUAUUGAAUUUAGAGGAUUUGCAAGAUGGACUAAAAGAUGUAUUAUUAAAGAUGCAGGAUUGUACAUCUGAGGCUGAGAUCAGGAAUUUAUAUUCCAGUAUUUUUGAUGAAGCAACUGACGCUGGUUUUAUAAUCCCAGUGUCCAGAUUUAACAAACAGCAUGUCAGACUCCUUCAGGCUGCUUUAAUUGAAAGCCAGAUUUCUACAUGCCAAGAUGAAUUAGAUCAAUUUAUCAGAGGAUUGGAACUUCAUCAGGUGUUGGGACUCUUGAGGCAGGACUCUUAUAUAGCCUCCUCAAGAGUUUUACUAAGUGGCAGGAUUAAACCUGUUACAGUGGCAACACUGAGGAAACUGUUGAAAUUCCAGUUUACUACAGGGAAUCAGGAAAAAGACCAAAAAGCCACAAAACAAGGUUUUUUAACCUUUCUCCAGGCCACAAAAGGAACAGCCACAGUUGUAAAUGGAAUAAAAGUUGAAACCAAAGAUGUAUUAAUGUGGCUAAGUGGGUCAAGUGUUAUACCAGCAAUAGGUUUUCACAAACCUAUUGACAUUGAUUUUGGAGAGUCCACAUUUGUGAACACCUGUGCUCUAGCCGUAACACUCAAAGUUCAACCUGAUUUAUCAGAUGCGGUCACAUACUACACAGAGUUGAUCAUAAACAGCCAGACAUUUGGAAAAGAAUAAUAGGGAGCUUUUCUCAUCACUUGGCGUCCGGCGUCUGUCUUCUGUCAUUGUUAACUUUUACAAAAAUCUUCUCUGAAACUACUGGGCCAAAUUUAACCAAACUUGUCCACAAUCAUCAUUGAGGUAUCUAGUUUGAAAAAGUGUCCGAUAACCCGGCCAAUAAACCAAGAUGGCCGCCAUGGCUAAAAAUAGAACACAGGGGUAAAAUGUAGAUUUUGGCUUAUAUCUCUGAAACCAAAGCAUUUAGAGCAAAUUUGACAAGGGAUAAAAUUGUUUAUCAGGUCAACAUCUAUCUGCCCGGAAAUUUUUUGGUUAUUAUCUUGAAUAUUAUUAUAGAUAGAGAUAAACUUUAAACCGCAAUAAUGUUCAGCAAAGUAAGAUCUACAAAUAAGUCAACAUGACCAAAAUGGUCAGUUGACCCCUUAAGGAGUUAUUGCCCUUUAUAGUCAAUUUUUAACAAUUUUUCAUAAAUUUUUGUAAUCUUAUACAAAAAUCUUCUCCUGAAACUAUUAAGACAAAUUUAACCAAACUUGUCCACAAUCAUCAUAAGGGUAUUUAGUUUUAAAAUUGUGUCCGAUGACCACGCCCGUGAACCAAGAUGGCUGACAUGGCUAAAAAUAGUACAUAGGGUAAAAUGCAGUUUUUGGCUUGUAUCUCUGAAACAGAAGCGUUUAGAGCAAAUCUGACAGGGUAUAAUUGUUCAUUAGGUCAAGAUCUAUCUGCUCUGAAAUUUUCAGACCAUUCAGGCAACCUGUUGUUGGGUUGCUGCCCCUGAAUUUGUAAUUUUAAGAAAAAUUUUCAGCUUUUAAUUUUUAUCUUAAAUGUUAUUUUGAUAGAGAUACAUUGUAAACAGCAAUACUGUAAAGCAAAGUAAGACCUAAAAAUAAGUCAACAUGUCCAAAAUGGUUAAUAGACCACCUAGGGAGUUAUCACCCUUUAUAGUCAAUUUUUAACAAUUUUCAUAAAAUUUGUUAAUUUUUACAAACAUUUUCCACUGUAACUACUGGGCCAGGUUCAUUAUAGAUAGAGAUAAUUGUAAGCAGCAAGAAUGUUCAGUAAAGUUAGAUCUACAAACACAUCACCAUCACCAAAACACAAUUUUGUCAUGAAUCCAUCGGUGUCCUUUGCUUAAUAUGCACAUAGACCAAGGUGAGUGACACAGGCUCUUUAGAGCCUCUAGUUUGUAACUUUUUUGUAAGCAUUAAAUACAGUAUCAAGAUCUGAUUUAUUGGAAAAACUUCAUUUUUUGGGGGGAUUCCAAUAGAAACUGAUAAAGAGAAGUUUCAAAAUGAAUUGCACAUAUAUUUUUGAAUUAAUCGUUAUAUUAUAUGCAGAUGAUACUGUAUUUUUAUCAUAAACAGAAGAAGGUAUGCAGCGAUCAAUUAACAUUUUUCAGUUAUAUUGUGAAAAGUGGAAAUUAAUAGUAAAUUUAAAUAAAACAAAGGUUAUUAUUUUGAGAAAGAGGAAAGUAAAAAGAAAUUUAAAAUUUUGAUUACAAGACACAGAACUUGAGAUUGUUAAAAAAUUUCUCUUAUUUAAGUGUUGUCUUUGAAUAUAACGUACUUUUUUAGAUACCAAAAAAAAACUUAUUGAUCAAGCACAAAAAUCAAUGCAUUUUAUUCAUAGAAUUGUUAGAAACAAAAGUAUUCCUAUAGAUUUGCAACUGAAAUUAUUUGAUUCCAUGAUAGGACCAAUUCUUUUAUUUGGUUCGGAAGUUUGGGUUUUUGAGAAUUUGAAAAUAAUGGAACAGAUACAUUUGAAAUUUUGUAAAAGAAUUUUAAAAUUUUGAAAUACUACACCCAAUUUUAUGGUGUAUGGAGAAUUGGGAAGAUUUCCUCUGCAAAUUGGAGUUGAAUGUAAAAUGAUUUCGUAUUGGUGUAAAGUUGUAAACAAUAGCAGUAAACUCAGUACUUUGUACAGGCUGAUGUUAUCAUUGAAGAAUCAUGGUCAUUAUGUUUUCAAAUGGACUGAUUCUGUCGAAUCAAUAUUUAACAACACUGGUCUAGGAUAUAUUUUCAUGAAUCAAAUUGGCUUUUGUGAUAUAAAUUAUCUCAAUCAAAUAUUGAGUGAUCAGUUUAUUACCUAAUGGUUUGGGGAUAUAGAAAAAUCAUCUUGGGGUCUUUCGGAUUAGAAAAAUAUCUGAUCAGGCUAUCUGAACAGAAUAGAGGGUGGGUAACUAAAUUAAGGACAUCUAACUUGCAUAUUCCAAUCGAGACAGGCUGUUGGCAAAAUAUACCUAGACCAGAGAGAAUAUGUACUAUGUCAUAAAUUUGUUGGUGAUGAAUUUUAUGUUUUAUUUGUAUGUAAACAUGAUUCUAUUGUUAAUUAUAGAAACCAAUACUUACCUAGAUAUUAUACCAUUAAUCCGCAAUACAUUAAAAUGGAAGAUUUAUUGUCAAUAUGUAAUAUAGAAGUCUACAAACGACUGUAAUUUUUUAUUAAGAAAAUUGCUUGUUUAUUCUUAAAUAUUUACAAAUGUAUUUCUAUGUGUUUAAAAAGUACUGCAUGCUCAUUUAGUCAUUCAAUUGUUUAUGUGUUAUACUUUGACCUCAUGUUACACAUGUAUGUGUCUGAGCGUUAUCAAUAAAUCUUGUAUCUUGAAAAACUAGACAAGUGUUUUACACAAUCUAAUAAAUGUUAAUUUGGACAGUGUUAAAGAUGACAAGAUAAACUCUUUUGUUAGAUUGAGAUUCAGUUUAGUUUGCAUUAAUUUUAAGAGCCCUCAACAAAAAUUUUGGAAUGAAAAGAAAAAAAACAGCAUCAAAACCCAAAGGAGACAUGCCUUGAUGCAAUCUUGGUUGUAAAUUUGAGAUACAGAAUUAACUUUAUAGAAAAACUAUGCAUAAACUAAAAGUGAGGCCUACACCUUUAUAAUUUGAGAAAGUUUAAAAAUCUGAAAAAAGAUGUUUAAAGGUUAUUGAUUAAGCUGUAAUGAAAUAUAAAAAAGAUACAGGUAAAAAAAUAAAAAAAUCUUAGAUCUCAAAACACCAGAGUAUUGGAAAGUUUUGAAUCGAAACAAAUAUUCAAAACAGCCUGAUAUUGAUUUUGCAGUCUUACUCAAUUUUUACAUCGAGAUGACCAUGAGGUCAUUCUGAUGUAUUGCUAUCGCCUAAAUUUCCAUUAUGCAAAUUUGUUUUGGGUUUUCAACCGAUCUAUGAAAAUUAUAGAUCAACGGUCAUUAUCUAGUGCAAAAUAACAUUAUUAAUCGCUUGUUUCAAAUUCAUUUUUUCAAUGAAUACUAUAAAUAUUUUUAUUAAAACACAAAUUAAUAAUGUGUUGUCGUAUGGUAUAUAUAUAUAUAAAAGUAUAAAAAUCAUUGAUGAUAUCUAUGCACACGUACCGAAAAAUUGUGUUAAAGCUUGCGGGAAGAAUAUCUCAGAAACGUUUUGCGACACUCCCGGCAAGGACCGGUAACUCUGUUAUUGUUUUGCGGGAAAAUAUGAAUGACUUCUCAUAUCCAAUCUUUUAGAAAAAUCGAAUUUUUUUUACAGAAGAGUGUCCACCAUGCACUUGCACUGCACUAUAAUUAGAAUAGUAGAAUAGAAUGAUAUACAAAUGGAUGAAAAUUAUAUAUACAUGCAACCGUAAUUAUUAAUAUGAUAUAUAACAACAAACCAGUGUAUACUGUCUGGGACUAUUAUUAUAUUAGUAUGAUAGUCCCAGGUAUACUGAUUUGUAUCACUACAAUAUAAUAGUAAUUACGGUGCGGUUGAAUUUCCUGUUAUUAAUUCAUCAUCCACGCACAAACUUGUAUCAGAAAAAAAAUAUAUCUCUGUACAUUAACCUCAGUUUCAGGUAUAGAGAUGUGAUCUGUUUCUGUGACAUGUGCUUUUAACCAUCCACAAGAACUUGCGGGAUAGGUCAUCCGAUGUUCAGUACUUCAGUUUUUGAUUUCAAGAAGUUAAAAUCAGGUGACUCAGAUCCAAUAGACUGAUCAAAAUGUAUUGAAUGCACUGAACGAAAUUCUGAAACAGUGCAAUUACAAAAGAUGAAGUAAUCAAAUGUUUUGAGAACCUAAAAAAUGAUAGUCAGUGGUGAUAAUAUAAUUAUGAAUGAGUAUAUUAAUUCUUGAUGUCAUUUUUUUUAUUGAUGUGUAUAUUGAAUGUUUAAUUUGAUUUUUAAAACAUUAUCUUUCUUGGGUGAUUGGAACCAUAUAUGGAGAAAUAGGAGGUUGUGAAUGUCCUGUAAGCUUCGAUAUAAAAUCUUGCAUGAUUUCAUAUUGGUCAAAGUUGAUAAUUAGCAAACCUGUAAAUUAUUUGUAAUUGCAUACAAAUUAAUGUUGAGUUAAUCAUGGAACUAAUGUAAAAUUUAAUUGGUUGAACUGUAUAAAAUCUAUUUUUAAUGAUACUGGUUUAUCUUCUGCAUAUUUAACUCCAUCUUGUAUUAAUGAAACUUGGUUAAAUACCACAUUUAGGACAUCUCUCCAAAGAUCAGUUUAAACAAAUAUGGUACUUAGAUAUUCAAACGAACCUGAAAAUAUUGAAUUGUCACCUUUUUAAUGAUCUUUUUGGCUUUGAAAAGAAUUGAGAUAUUUUUGAACUCUGUAAUGUAUAUACUUUGUCAUGUUAGACUGGCUUUUCAUAAUAUAAACUACAAAUAAACUGCCAAUACUGAUUGUGAGAGGGAAAAAAUAAAACGUGUGAACACUGAUAUAAGAUCUUGGUGACAGAUUUUAUUAUGUAAUGACAUACAUUUAUGGCUAAAGAAAAAAAAAGUAUAUUGAUUUUAAAUGUAUUACUUUUCCAAAUGCAAUUAAAUUUAACGAAUUUUAUAAUUCUUUGCUGAGUGGAAAUGUUACAGCACACCAUAGACAAAGAAGCAAGUAAUCUAUGUAUACAAUGAUAUAACAAAAAAUCCUGUAAUAAAGUAGGUGUUUUUAAAAAAUUAUUGACUAGAUUGGCCACAAAAUCCUCAUUUAUUUAUUCUGUAGGAUUUGUUAGUAUAGAGAACAGCCAUUGGAAUGAAGGCUUAUUUUGUGCUGCAGUGGUUUUCUGGAUGAGUUAUAUCACUUGCAAUUAACACAUGUUGGUGAAUAAAAUAUUUAGUAUUAUAUACAUUGUAUUUGUGUGUAACAAUGUAUAGUUUGAGCAGUACAUAUUCAUUCUUAUACAUAAUGGACAAAUAAAUUUAGUUUUAAGGUGGAACCCAACACCUUGAUUAAUAUUAAUUUGGCUUGUUUAAUUUUCAUAAAAUUUUGACAAAAUGUUUACUGUGACAUAUUGACAAAAAUAUAAUAAUUUCAUUAAAUUUGAACCAAACACUUUAUCACAAAAUUUUCUUUGGCUUUAUAACAGUUUGACAAACAGUAAUUUUGAUCAUUGAGAAGCUUUAUAUUUCCUUAACAAUACCAUGUGAUUAAAACAAUUAGCUGAUUUUUACAGAGUUAUCUCCCUGUAGUGUUAGGUACCACCUUAAGGUUACAAGAGCGCAAUUAUUCGUAAUGCAUUUUCCAUAGGGUACCACUGGUGUUCCGUAUUUUUUUCCUCGAAGACUACACAAACUAGGGAAAAAUGGGUAGCAGUUCCUGUUACUAGAAAUGCCAGUGUUGCAUUACAACCAAAAAAAUAUACAUGGUCAUGUGGCAAAAAUUGACUUAAAAUGCAGUUGAAAAAGAUCGUCUAUUUUUUUCGCUUAAAGAAAAAGGCAUAUUUUUAAUGGCUCCGACGUGCAGAAAUGGAACAUAUUUUCUAUACUUUGUAAAAUGUGAAUAUGAUUUUCUGCAUUUUUUAAACCUAAUUGGAUAAGCUUUCGAUUAAAUGUAAUUCCAAUCCUGUAUCAUCCAAUCAGAAGCCGUGUAGGAUUCUAUUCUGAGUACCAUCUUGGGGUAAAAAACUUGCCAGUAAAAUGUAAACAAAUAAUUGCGCUCUUGUAACCUUAAUUAGUUAUAAUUGAAUGAGAUAGAAUUAUCACUUAACUUUAUAGUGUUAUGUAUUUUUAUAUGUGCACAAUUUAUUUUGUGUACUAGGUAUUAUUAUUUCAUUCUUUGUACCAAUGUGUAUACAGUGGUUUUAGAGACUAAAAUUGUCUUGUCUUGUCUUUUAUUUGGUUAGUGAUUAACUGUACAUGUAUUAAACAGUUAAAGAAGUAAUUAUCUGUGCCUCAAAUACUUUUUUACUGACAUUGUUAUUACGGGGUUUUAAUAGAUUGCUGAAUAAAAUUUUGAACAUUGUGUUGGUAAUUGAUAGAUGGCAUUAAAC
Mytilus californianus (California mussel) is the source of this 7041-nucleotide long non-coding RNA. RefSeq lists it as uncharacterized. The record is from RefSeq and is a predicted model, not a curated record. The transcript has 4 exons. Lineage: Eukaryota; Metazoa; Mollusca; Bivalvia; Mytilida; Mytilidae.